UCGCGCAAACUUUGCAAUACACGCAAGUGUGACAGGGCUAUCCCGAGUGCCGUCCGCUGAGGAUGGCUUUUACUCAGUCUAGAACGCUGGGAGAAUAAGGAGAGGGCAAGUCUGGUGUCAGCCGCCGCGGUAAUACCAGCUCUCCGAGUGGUGUGGAUGUUUAUUGGGCCUAAAGCAUCCGUAGCUGGCCAAGUUAGUCCCCUGUUAAACCCACCGAAUCAAUCGUUGGAUUGCGGGGGAUACUGCUCGGCUAGGGGACGAGAGAGGCAGACGGUAUUUUCGGGGUAGGGGUGAAAUCCUAUAAUCCCGGGAAGACCACCAGUGGCGAAGGCUGUCUGCUAGAACGAGCCCGACGGUGAGGGAUGAAAGCUGGGGGAGCGAACCGGAUUAGAUACCCGGGUAGUCCCAGCUGUAAACGAUGCAGGCUAGGUGUUUGGGCGGCCACGUGCCGCUCUAGUGCCGCAGGGAAACUGUUAAGCCUGCCGCCUGGGGGAUACGGUCGCAAGAUUGAAACUUAAAGG
Molecule: ribosomal RNA, 521 nt
Filed under: uncultured crenarchaeote
Lineage: Archaea; Thermoproteati; Thermoproteota
Description: bacterial SSU rRNA
Rfam family: Archaeal small subunit ribosomal RNA
Source: RNAcentral